RNAcentral lists this ribosomal RNA (416 nucleotides) under uncultured bacterium. Its description in RNAcentral is "bacterial SSU rRNA". It matches the Rfam family "Bacterial small subunit ribosomal RNA", at positions 64 to 524 of the family's 1533-position model. The record is from RNAcentral.
GAGCGGGUGUAGCAAUACAUCAGCGGCAGACGGGUGAGUAACGCGUGGGAACGUACCUUUUGGUUCGGAACAACACAGGGAAACUUGUGCUAAUACCGGAUAAGCCCUUACGGGGAAAGAUUUAUCGCCGAAAGAUCGGCCCGCGUAUGAUUAGCUAGUUGGUGAGGUAAUGGCUCACCAAGGCGACGAUCAGUAGCUGGUAUGAGAGGAUGAUCAGCCACAUUGGGACUGAGACACGGCCCAAACUCCUACGGGAGGCAGCAGUGGGGAAUAUUGGACAAUGGGCGCAAGCCUGAUCCAGCCAUGCCGCGUGAGUGAUGAAGGCCCUAGGGUUGUAAAGCUCUUUUGUGCGGGAAGAUAAUGACGGUACCGCAAGAAUAAGCCCCGGCUAACUUCGUGCCAGCAGCCGCGGUAAU